AUCUAUUUGGAGUUGUGGUUAAUGCGCUCGACUGCGGAUCCGGGUGACGCGGGUUCGAUUCCCCCUACCAGAUG
RNAcentral lists this transfer RNA (74 nucleotides) under Dallia pectoralis (Alaska blackfish). RNAcentral's name for it is "tRNA-OTHER". Lineage: Eukaryota; Metazoa; Chordata; Actinopteri; Esociformes; Umbridae. The record is from RNAcentral.